CCUACGGGUGACAGCAGUGAGGAAUAUUGGUCAAUGGACGAAAGUCUGAACCAGCCAUGCCGCGUGCAGGAAGACGGCUCUAUGAUUUGUAAACUGCUUUUGUACGAGGGCAAACGGAGAUACGCGUAUCUGUCUGAAAGUACCGUACGAAUAAGGAUCGGCUAACUCCGUGGCAGCAGCCGCGGUAAGACGGAGGAUUCAAGCGUUAUCCGGAUUUAUUGGGUUUAAAGGGUGCGUAGGCUGUACGAUAAGUUAGAGGUGAAAUCCCGAGGCUCAACUUCGGAAUUGCCUCUGAGACUGUUCGGCUAGAGAGUAGUUGCGGUAGGCGGAAUGUAUGGUGUAGCGGUGAAAUGCUUAGAGAUCAUACAGAACACCGAUUGCGAAGGCAGCUUACCAAGCUACUUCUGACGUUGAGGCACGAAAGCGUGGGGAGCAAACAGGAUUAGAUACCCCAGUAGUC
Molecule: ribosomal RNA, 460 nt
Filed under: uncultured bacterium
Lineage: Bacteria
Description: partial 16S ribosomal RNA
Rfam family: Bacterial small subunit ribosomal RNA
Source: RNAcentral